This 637-nucleotide ribosomal RNA is filed under the name Bisallardiana sp. NLG-2014. RNAcentral describes it as "eukaryotic LSU rRNA". It matches the Rfam family "Eukaryotic large subunit ribosomal RNA", at positions 671 to 1265 of the family's 3401-position model. The record is from RNAcentral. Lineage: Eukaryota; Metazoa; Arthropoda; Insecta; Coleoptera; Scarabaeidae.
GAGUCUAGCAUGUGCGCGAGUCAUUGGGACUCUAACGAAACCUAAAGGCGUAAUGAAAGUGAAGGUCCGCCCAGCGCGGACCGAGGGAGGAUGGGCUUUCCCAAGGGAUCGCCCCGCACUCCCAGGGCGUCUCGUUCUCAUUGCGAGGAGAGGCGCACCAAGAGCGUACACGCUGGGACCCGAAAGAUGGUGAACUAUGCCUGGUCAGGACGAAGUCAGGGGAAACCCUGAUGGAGGUCCGUAGCGAUUCUGACGUGCAAAUCGAUCGUCGGAACUGGGUAUAGGGGCGAAAGACUAAUCGAACCAUCUAGUAGCUGGUUCCCUCCGAAGUUUCCCUCAGGAUAGCUGGCGCUCGCUUCUCGCGAGUCUCAUUCGGUAAAGCGAAUGAUUAGAGGCAUUGGGGUCGAAACGGCCUCAACCUAUUCUCAAACUUUAAAUGGGUGAGAUCUCCGGCUUGCUUGAACUGUGAAGCCGCGAGAUAUCGGAUCAGAGUGCCAAGUGGGCCACUUUUGGUAAGCAGAACUGGCGCUGUGGGAUGAACCAAACGCUGAGUUAAAGCGCCUAAAUCGACGCUUAUGGGAUACCAUGAAAGGCGUUGGUAACUUAAGACAGCAGGACGGUGGCCAUGGAAGUCGGA